AGAUCGCUUAGCUGUGGUCCAGCAUGCAGAAGUGAGCGUGUGGUGAAAGGCAGCAGACCCAAUGGGUUGCGAGGAUGUAAGAGUGUUUGAAGGCUUCCACACCCUCUCCUCCAGGAAUCAUGAAUAAACUGGAGGACAAGCAGGACCAGAUGAUACCAUGAAGAGAAGUUUACAGGCCCUCUAUUGCCAACUGUUAAGCUUUCUCCUAACCUUGGCACUGACCAAAGCACUGGUACUCGCCGUCCAGGGACCAUCUCCCAGGGAAUCUCUGCAGACCCUCCCCUCAGGCAGCCCCCCAGGCACCAUGGUGACAGCAACUCACAGCCCUACCAGACUCUCCUCUGUGAUGACCCUGAGCCCUAAACCU
Molecule: long non-coding RNA, 367 nt
Filed under: Rattus norvegicus (Norway rat)
Lineage: Eukaryota; Metazoa; Chordata; Mammalia; Rodentia; Muridae
Description: long non-coding RNA NONRATT028922
Source: RNAcentral